Molecule: unclassified non-coding RNA, 329 nt
Filed under: soil metagenome
Description: partial contains 5.8S ribosomal RNA, internal transcribed spacer 2, and large subunit ribosomal RNA
Rfam family: 5.8S ribosomal RNA (bases 1-120)
Source: RNAcentral
GAUGAAGAACGCAGCGAAAUGCGAUAAGUAAUGUGAAUUGCAGAAUUCAGUGAAUCAUCGAAUCUUUGAACGCACAUUGCGCCCUCUGGUAUUCCGGGGGGCAUGCCUGUUCGAGCGUCAUUAUAACCACUCAAGCUCUCGCUUGGUAUUGGGGUUCGCGGUUCCGCGGCCCUUAAAAUCAGUGGCGGUGCCUGUCGGCUCUACGCGUAGUAAUACUCCUCGCGAUUGAGUCCGGUAGGUCUACUUGCCAGCAACCCCCAAUUUUUACAGGUUGACCUCGGAUCAGGUAGGGAUACCCGCUGAACUUAAGCAUAUCAAUAAGCGGAGGA